UCCCACCAACCAAGCGCCAGAUCCCUCGUCUUUCCUGCGCCGCACCUCCCUCUGUGCUUCUUCUCGAGCAGGAGGUCAUCCUCUAGGCCCUCCCCGUGCCACCAGGAGCAGCACCAGGAUGCCAGAGCCCCGACCUCCUCUGCUGGUGCUCGUGCUGUAGCGGCAACACGACCAGGGCGCAGUGCAGUUACCCCGUUCCUCCUUCUCUUCCUUCCUCCUUCCUCUCUCUCUCACUUUGUUCAUUCUCCCUCUCGCUCGUGCAGGUCAGUUGCGAGGCGCCGGCCAUUGGAUCAACCGCCACGCCCCUCCGGCGAGCAGUAGCCACGGUUCCGCAGCCUGGCGCCGCCCCGGCCUUGCCCCUUCACAGCUGCGCGGGGAAGGAGCUCCCGUGCCCUUGCUGCAGCCACGCCCUGGCAGCCCGGAGAGCACGUUGGGCCUCGCUGCCGAUUGGGAACGGGUCGGACACCCCCGGAUCGGGCCCCGACGAAGGUCCCCGACCCUGGCCCCGCGGUCAGGACCUCUCCUGUUGCAUCUCUGCAUCGCCAUGGCGCUGACCUCUGUUUCCCACUGUGAGCCUGAACCUGAACCUCAGUUUUUUCCCAGAUAUGUUGUGUUGUGCUGGUCAUUUAGCGUUGUUGUCAUGUUUUGUGACAAGAAGACGCAAUAGCAGGGUGGUUAGCUCCACCGUGGUGAGAACACUAGGUGGUUAUCCUACUAUCCCAGCUAGUUGUUUUGUUAAUGGGCACCGCUAGGGAUCAGACUACUGAUCCCUAGUGUUGCAUCAGACCAUCCGAACGCUGUAGGAUGAGGCUGCUUCUGCCCGUUAGAUUAGUAUAGGUCCCUCGAACCUUUGUCAGGUAGUUUUCUAGUAAUCAGCUUCAUAGAAUUAAUUGCUUCCAGAAAUCACGGCUGGACACAAUCUAUAACGUGGGUCCACCUUUGUUUUCCUGUACUAAUUUUGUUCCACAAACUAAUCACGUCCAAAAAUCAAGCAGGGAAUUCCUCAAAAAAGAAGAAGCAAGUAUCGCCUUAUUUUCUAUGAACCGAAAAUCUUUUCCUACUAAACUUAGCUUCCAGUACAUGUUAAAUUUGCUUCCAUACCCAAUUUUUUUUAUGUCCAAUGUAACAAUUUAUUUUUAUUUAGAGACAGAAUUGUGCAUAAAUUUGUUGUCUUCCGGUCUUACUCCAUGUUACUUCCAACCACCAUAAAAGUUUGUUUCAACCUAAUUUGUUUCAACUUAAUUUUCCAAAUAUGCUUCCAUAACAUUUAUAGAUUUUCUCUAAUCACGUUGCUGCCAUAUGCUUCCGAUAUUCGCUCCAUGUCCAUACAAUCGGAGGAGUUUUCAUAUAUGCACGAUGCUUCCUUUUAUUCCAUAUUCGUUUCCAUCAUAUGCUUCCAGCAGUACAUGACAUGCUUCAUAAUUCAUGGUCACAUUUUUCUCCGGGCAUUGUCAUGAUUUGUUUUGUGCUAUGAAGCACACGUGUUUGUAUGUCGAAGCACAAUUUUAUUUGGUUGAAGCAUGAAAUGUAGUUCCAAGUUCCUUAUACCAUCACAAUGUUAGUGUAGAAAAAGAAGCGCGCGUCAUUGUAUUUCGAAGCACAAUUUUAUUUGGUUGAAGCGUGAAAUGUAGUUUGAGAGUUACUUUGUUGCAAUGAGCCAUCAGAAACAUAGUUUGAGAGUUACUGAAGCUUGAACAAAAUGUUACCAAUUUACCAUGUUUGUAUAAACAACAAAGCAAAUUAACACGUAAAUGCUUCGAUACAUGCUACAUAUGAUACCGAAGCAUAUAUGUGAAACUAAACUAAAGGAAACACAUACAUAGGUAGUAUGACAAUGCACAGGAUAUGAAGCAUUGCCUCUUUGACAAUGAAGCAUGUCACUCCCACUAUUUAGAGCCAGAGACGUCGAGGAACCAGAAGCAUCGAUGGCAGGAUGUAUGAGAGAUGAUGCCAACCUGAAGAUCGAUUAGGAGUACCAUGGAUGCAACGUCGCUGGAGAAGAUGCCAACAUGGCGGCAAGAUGAUUGCGUCGUAUCCUAUGACAUUCAAUGUCCCCGCUGCCCGUUGAUUGUGCCGUAUCCUAUCACGUUCAAUGUCCCCACUGCUCGUUGGUGGUAUUUGGAAGAAGCAUCAAUGUCUUGCAAUCUCAAGAUAACACAAUAGUAUAGAAAAACGAAAGCAUGUCUAGAAUGUUGCAAACUCUAUACUGCGAAGGUCCACGAGAAUGACACAUAUGAAGCAUGGAUAUUUGGAUGUCAGGGAAAAGCCAUGAACUUGGCUCAAGCUUCACUCAGCUUCUUGAAGCCGUGUCGGUCGGCCAUGGCCAGCGUGGCUGCCACGGUCUCGAUGUCGAGGCUCUUGCACAAGACACGCUCGCAGAUCGCCCUUAGCCUGCCCAUGCCGUGCCGCUCCGCGGCGAUAAGGAGGUGCCGGAUCAUCGCCUUGUGACCGGCGCCAUCAAGGCCACCCAGGACGGGCAGCGCGUCUGUGUAGGCGAACUGGAUCAGCGCCCAGACCGACUGUGCCGGCAUGUCUCCGCCAUCCACGGAGAUCUGCACCUUCCGGUCGCUGCACGUCGUCGCCGUGUGGAUGUGGCGCUUGAGAAAGCCAGGCGCCCGAGCGUCGAGGAUGCAGUAAUGCGCGCCGAUCGUCCCUCCUUCGAGUUGGAUGAUCGCGUCCGGCUCCCCCCUUGCCGUAGCCGACUUGCUGGAAGAGCGCNNNNNNNNNNNNNNNNNNNNNNNNNNNNNNNNNNNNNNNNNNNNNNNNNNNNNNNNNNNNNNNNNNNNNNNNNNNNNNNNNNNNNNNNNNNNNNNNNNNNNNNNNNNNNNNNNNNNNNNNNNNNNNGGCAGGAUCGAUCUAUGCCAGGAUGGAGCACCAGCGUUGUCGCCCGAGGGUCGCAUCGGUGUAGAAGACGAUGUCGUUUGGACAAGCAACGGGCAGAACUGACCGGCAGGGCGGCCGUGCUGCUCGACGGCGGGAAGAGUGGGAAGCGGCUGCAUGUNNNNNNNNNNNNNNNNNNNNNNNNNNNNNNNNNNNNNNNNNNNNNNNNNNNNNNNNNNNNNNNNNNNNNNNNNNNNNNNNNNNNNNNNNNNNNNNNNNNNNNNNNNNNNNNNNNNNNNNNAAGCGGCUGCAUGUGAGGCGGGGUAUAAGGAAAUUUGGGCGAGGCGCUCCGGGCGGUGCGUGGAGCUGGACGAGCUCAAUCUGGUGUGGUUGCAGCUGGAAUAUAGGAGAGAUUAAUUAGGGAGAGAUUAGCGGAUGAUUUAUGGUGGGCCUACGUGCAGUUAAUUCCCUGCCCAUGUCUUAUUUUUUUACAAAAGCAACACGGUUUGUGAGGCGUUAGAUUUUAAUUGAAUGGAUGGCAUUGAAAUGGUCUGAUGCUGGACUUCUAUCAGACUAUAGAUAACAAGUGUUUACCUUUGUUAAUUUUGGGAGUGACACUACACCUGGAACGCAGCUAUUCCCUUUGAUGGUUAUCCUACUAUCCNNNNNNNNNNNNNNNNNNNNNNNNNNNNNNNNNNNNNNNNNNNNNNNNNNNNNNNNNNNNNNNNNNNNNNNNNNNNNNNNNNNNNNNNNNNNNNNNNNNNNNNNNNNNNNNNNNNNNNNNNNNNNNAUCCUACUAUCCCAGCUGCCCAGCUGGUUAGCGCGUAGCUUUCUAAGCGCCAGGUCCCGGGCUCGAAUCUAGUGCACCUCGCAUUUUUAUUUCUUUUGGUUGUCUCGGUUUCCUUUUGGUUGUCUCGUGUAUGGUUUAUAUAGGGCCGCAUCCACCCUGUAUCGCAUGUCUACUUUGGUGUAGUCGGUCGUCCUAGUGAGCCAAUAUCCUGGUGGUCCAGGGAUCAAAUCCUCACGGCCUAUCUUUUAUUUUAACCUUGUGAAUUUCUUUUUCUUUUGCAUGCAUGUUGCAUUCAUGUCAUAUGAUCUUGUGUGGCCGUAUCUCUUAACCGGAGAUUCGUCCAAUGUGCUAUAUGUGUGAACCAACUGGAAUGUCAUGGUGAAUCACAUGAUCCAAUCCUUGCCAUGAUUAAACAAUAUUUAAUAUUGCCGUGUAUCAAAAGGGAGUGAACUAAGUAAUUCAAAUGUGGAGUUUCGUUAACUCGUUGCAUAUUGAGCUUCACUUAAUGUGUAGCGUUUGAUUGUUGUGAGUUGCCAUGCCAUGACAUGUCUUGCAUAUUUGAUGAUCAUGCAUCAUAUCUUGCAUGUGACGUGGUGAAUAUCGUGUGUUUAUUCUUGUUUUCGGUUUUCUUUGUCUAGAUAGAGUUCCGCAAGCGUGUCGGAAUGUGAGGAUCCGUUCGACUACGUUAGUUCGUCUGCUUCCCAGAUUCGUUCUUCUUCCAAGCAGGAUCUCACGCAAGAUGAUCAUUUCCCUAGAUACCAUUACUAUCAUUGCCAUGCUAGUUGUUUCGUUUCUAUCACUAUGUCUCGAUGCCUACCACGUGUUUAAUAAGCCUCCCAAUAUUUUCAUGAAAACCUUCAACCUUUCUACAACCUAGCAAACCACUGAUUGACUAUGUUACCGCUUGCUUAACCAUUGGAUAGCGUUGCUAGUUGCAGGUGCAGUUGCUUUCAUGUGAUAACAUGGGUUCCUUAUUAUAUCACCAUAUUAUUGGUAAUUAAAUUAAUGCACCUCUAUACUUGGUAAAAGGUAGAAGUCUUGGCUUUCUAGGCUGGUGUUUUGUUCCAUCUUUACAGCCCUAGUUUCGGCUACCGGUGUUAUAUUCCAUAAUUGAGCGCUCCUAAAACGAUCGGGGUUGUUAUGGGGAUCCCCUUUAUAAUUCGUUUUAGAUUAAGACAUGUGCGGCAAGGCCAAACUUUGGUACUACGUUUCCCUAACAACCUAAUAAAAAGCAUAGGGACCCGUCGGCACCCGCGGAUAAUUAAUCAACCCACGGGCUAGUGCUCCUCAUCAGUGUUGGUCCGAACUAAGCAAUGCCCGGCGCCCCCUGGUCAUCCGGGGGUUUCAGCUAGCCCGACGUCUAGCUCAUCCGAUCGUGCCCUGAGAACGAGAUACGCGGCUCGUAUCGAGUCUAUCGGCACGCCGGGCGGCCUUGCUGGAUUAGUUUUACCGUUUACGAAAUAUCUUGUGCAUCGGGAUUCUGGUGAUGCUUUGGUUUAUCUUAGAGUUGAGGUUUUCCACUAAGGAGUUUGAGGAGAUCACGAGUUUCGUGAUCGAGGCUUUCUAUGUGUCUCGUUGAUACGUCCCAAACGUAUUUAUAAUUUCUGCUACCUCCAUGUAAGUUUUAGGUGAUAUUGCUUUGUGUUUUGUACACUUUCAUACCUUUUUCAACAUAUUCGGACUAACAUACUAACUCAGUGCACCCAGAGCCAGUUUUUGUGUGCUGAUGUGCGUGAAUUGAAGGUUUAUACCCAUAUUUAUAGUGCCCAAAAAAUUCCACAAAAAAUAUAUAAGAAAUCAGCGUUCCAGAAGACUCCAAACAACCGAAGGAGGGCCAGAGGGGGCCCAACAGGCCUCCAGGCGCCCUGGUGGCGCGGCUUGCCACCUGGCCGCGUGAAGAGACCGCAUGGGUGGGGCCCACCCCCUCUGGUGCCUUACCUUGGCUCCUAUUUUUACCCCCGUGGAGGAAACCCUGAGGCUGGAACCCUUUUCUCCAGAAGCAAAUCCGAUCUCCGCCGCCAUCGCCAACAAGUUUCGGGGGAAAAUAAUUCGUGUGGCGGCACCCUGCCGGUAUGGGGAAGUGCCCCGGAUUCAUCUCCAUCGACGUUGUUUCCUCCCUCCAUGAAGCCGGAGUAGUUGCUAUUCGGGGCUGAGGUCUUCUACAAUAGCUAUGUGGUUAAUUCUCUCUCCCAUGAUGUGAUCUUGAUUGUGAUCAUAGGCUAUGUUAACCUAGGGUGAUCCCAUGAUGUUUCCCCUUCUUCUAUGUAUUGGAUUGAUGUACUCACUUGAUCUUAUCUAGUAUAAUCCCUGAGACCAUGGUGACAGUGGUCUAUUGGACAUGGAUUAGAAGAAUAUUUUCAUGAGUGAUUUCCUCUUUUGUGAAUUGAUUGAAGAUUGACAGUCUCUUGGUGCUUGUCUUUGACUAUCCUUGAGAUAUGUUGUGGUGAUUGUGGUACUCUGUUUGGAUGGUCACGGUGACAUUGGGAAAUCCAUAGAUGAGAACUACAAACUUUGAGGUGUGCUUUUGUAGCCCUAUAUAAUUCUCGUCCUCUCUUGAUGACAAAGGAAUGACCUCCGAGUACGUCACCAUUGCAUGUUUUAGUGGAAAUAUCAUGUGAUUAGACUAUGUUAAUGUUGUUGGGAGUUGCCACCAGUGAAAGUAUGAAGCCUAGACCUUGUUUCUCACCAUUGUUAUAGCGUUUAUGCUCACUUUUGUCACUUGCUACCUUGCUGUAAUUUUUAUUACAUAUUUAUAUUACCUUGCUUUGCCAUACCUAUCAUCCAUAUUUUACCAUUUCUUCGUUGAACUAGUGCACCUAUUCAAUUUACCAUUGUAUUAGGUGUGUUGGGGACACAAGAGACUUCUUGUUUCUUAAUUGCAGGGUUGCUUCAUAGAGACCAUAUUCAACCUCUACUUUCCAGAGUUCGAUAAACCUUAGGUCAUCCAUUUGAGGGAAAUUGCUGCUGUCCUACAAACCUUUGCGCUUGGAGGCCCAACAUAGUCUACAAGAAUAGAAGCGUGUAUAGACAUCACUCGUGGUAAUUUCUGAUGGACUAGUUGGAGCACCACUGUAGGGUUAAAUUUUUCGGAAAGUCGUGCCCGCGGUUAUGUGGCAACAUGGAAACUUUGUUUAACAUCCGGUUCUAGAUAACUUGAAGUAAGCUUAAUUAAAAGAUGCCAACUGUGUGUGUAACCGUGACUGCCUCUUUCGCGAGUUUCUUCUUCGAUCGAGGACACGGUUGGGUUAUGUCUGACGUAAGUAGGUGUUUAGGAUCAUUCUUUUGAUCAUCAGUAGUUUACGUCCGCUAUGCGUAGAUCAUCCCCCUUUUAUUCUUGUACUCAUAAGUUAGGCACCUCAGAUAAAUGCUUAGAGCCGUGUUGCAGCCUCACCACUUAACCACACCUCACCCAUUAAGCUUUGCUAGUCUUGAUACCAUUGGAAAUGAGAUUGUUGAGUCCUUGUGGCUCACACAUUACUACAACUCUAGUUGCAGGUACAGGUAAAGAGUUACAUCGACGUGAGCGCGUUGAUUGUACAAUUUUGGAGUUUUUUCUUCUUCAUCAUCAAUCUAGGAUGGGUUCCAGGCCGGCAACCUGGGAUAGAAAGGAUGGACAUUGUUCUUUUAUCUUUUGUUUUCGUCCGUAGUCGGACCCUCCUCUUUUUCACGAUGACUGUAUAUUGGUGUACUGAUGUGACUCUGAUGUAGCUUGUGGCAUGUGGGGACCCCGUCUUACGAGUCGAGAUCGUUGAAUGAAUUUGCUCAGUGAUCCCAGAGAUCAAUGCUCACCGAACACACAUAUACUGAAUAUUAAGAGUCUUGCAUCCAACAUACCGAAAUAGUACAUCAAAUGACCAUCAAGGUCAAGUUCACAUAGGUAGGGCCUAUAAGUCCAAAUCACACCGAUCAAUCUACUAGCGGAAAUCUUGGGGCUAAGCGGGUGCCCAUGCCAUCAGCCAACACCAACAGGCAUUCUGACUAGGAAGCGUCCUAGUUCGCAGGUCCGUCUCCGAUGAUGAAUUCUUCUCCAAACUCCGGUCCUUCCAUGUGUGGUCAAUAACAUUACCAGUGGCAAGCCAGUGAGUACUUUGAAUGUACUCGCAAAUAGCCCAUGAUAUGGAUAAUGCAGUUGGUAUGAUAACAUGUAAUAUGCAGUACUCGUGGAUAACAACUUGAUUUUAAAUUAACAUGAUCAUAGAUGGAUGUGCAACAUAAGCUAGAUUGUAUUUAGAAGAACAUGUUACAUAUAUCAACAUAUCCGCUGUGGGCUGAACACUUCGGGUUCACCCAAUAUGCCAAGUCACCAAACUUGGUCAUAUCAACUCUUACUCAGAUAACUCCUUGAACACACACACUCACACUUGGUUUAUGCGGAAACGACUAGACAUAGUUUAAGCAGGAUUACCCAAUUGUCCUUGACCGUGGACACGACUAUUCGAAUAGUUUUACACUCUGCAAAGGUUGUAUGAUGUACCCACGAGAUCCGUGAAACUUCCAUGUCAUCCACGACUCGCGGUAUAUAACAUGCCCGAGGUAAGUACCCGAUGAAUGCCUUUCCCUUGACGAUACUAGAGAAAGAGUUCCACAUGAUUGGUACACAGCCCACAUGAUGUACGUCUUACAAGCACCCUCUCUGGACAGUACCAUCCAUGCGGGGACCAAUGGUAUGCCCGAAAUACGUAAAAACGGCAUAGUCGAGCUACCUGGUACGACCCCGUCACGAGAGUGACUACAAAUCACUCCCGCCACUAGUAAUGUGGCUCUUUGCUAGCACCGACCAAAGUAAUCAACAGAGCCCCGUCCCAUAAAAGGGUAACAUGGUCGCACAUGUAAGGUUGGGACGGUCGACACAUCAUAAAUUUAAUCCUAUUUCAGAAACCACUCACACCAAAAUAUUUCCCGGUGCACCACUUCUUCACAUGUGGUCACCUAACUCGUCAUCACCCUCGGCCAUUAGUGGCACCCAACGGGGUUUUCAUAAAACCGUUGAUAUUUACCAUCAUCAUUGCUCAUGCUUCUACUAUGCGUAGCACUACUGUUUACUUGUCAACAUAAUAUUGGCAUGACCCUCAUAGGUGGUAGGAUCAUUGAUACGUCCAAAAGCAUCACUAUAUUGUAUCAUAAUUUGUCUCUAUUCAUUGAUAUAUUUCACAAUAUGAUGUUGCUCUUAUAGUGUUUUGGCUUAUUUUACACAGUUUACAACUUUCCGGUGCCGAAACAGCAGACGUAGGAUUUAGCG
This 8849-nucleotide long non-coding RNA is filed under the name Hordeum vulgare. RNAcentral describes it as "long non-coding RNA (HVUL_LNC019104)". The record is from RNAcentral. Lineage: Eukaryota; Viridiplantae; Streptophyta; Magnoliopsida; Poales; Poaceae.